AGGGAGGGAACCGCGGCCCCGCCGACAUCGGCAUUGCCAGCGCCCGGAGGAGGAUACGUUCGGUGGGAUCUUCACCCUCAGCUCGACGCACCUCAGCCUCCUUGUUAUCAGGAACCAUCAAAGCAUGGGUGCAGUUGGCUGGUAUCCUUCAGCUGUUUGGAGGUUAGUUUGCCUCUGAAAUACGCAUUAAUGCCUCAAAAUGGCUCUCAUACUGGAAGGUGGAUUCAUGCCAUAUGCCCAGUGAUUGGAUGUAUUUCACACUGUUUUCAAAUUUAUCAGCAAGAUAGUUCCAAUCACCUGAGAUUGAUGUGCAAACAGAAUGCUGGUAAAGUCCUGUAUCUAUAGGAGACCACGGAGAAGAGCAAUGCCAAGAACUCCUGUCUGUCACCCAGAUCUUCCAGGACAGGUUUUCGUUGUCUUCAUCCCAGUGUCAUGAAGAAGAAUCAGAACUUCCCAAGGCAGUUAAUGCCACUGACAGGUCACUUCUGGGAUUGGUCUUAAACAAGAGCUUUCCCCUGAGUUACAUAAACAGUCCCAGAUACGUUAUGUGUGGCUACACCGUAAUUGCUGGGUAAGCGAAGAAGGAGAAUGAGAAGUUUUUCUCUGGGACAUGGAAAUUUCCCAGCUCUGCAAGAUGAGGAGAGGACUGACUCAUGAGUCACUGCUUUGGUAAAAACCUAGCCUAGUAAAAGAACACUCCUUUAGGAUGGGAAUCACCCCACCUAAGGCUGACAAUCCCUAAAUCUGUGCAGGAUGGCAAGGCUUCUUUUAUAGUCGGUGGAGACAAACGCACGUCUCUAGCAUGCCGCUCCUCCCACCCUCAUGUACACAAAUGUCUAAAAUAGACCAUGAGUCACACGCUACAAAUGCCUGUUUCUUUCCUUUGGUUCAAAAAAGGAAUUUAGACAACAAAUGCCUAACUGUUGAUGUCCAUCCAGUGUUCAGAUGCAUGAAAGCCAGUCUGGCUGGAAGGAUGCCAUUUGCUUAGCUGGGCUAAUUAAAUAUGAAUAUCUCUAAAACAGGACAUAGCAAACAAUGACCAGGCAGGAAUGAAUUGGAUUGAUGAAUAUUGAAGAACUAGAGGCAUCAGACUGUCUGAAUAUGAAUUAUUUUCUUUUCUGUCCUCUUCUUCCUCUCUUUCACAAGAGAUGAACAUUGACUAUGCACAUAAAAAGGACAUGCCCCAAAUCUUGACUGUCUUCUGCAAAUACCCAUAAUUUGGGGAAAAUGAGAUGAUGUAGCCUGAAUACAGCCGUGGGAGAGGUCAUGGAGACGAAAGAAAGCUUUGAACUAAUAUUUAUGCUAAGCAAAGUUAUGUGGGCUUACUCCUUUUACUAGCACUCAUUUUUCUCAUUAAACAUUGCAACUAUG
Long non-coding RNA from Pipra filicauda (Wire-tailed manakin), 1371 nucleotides. RefSeq lists it as uncharacterized. The record is from RefSeq and is a predicted model, not a curated record. Lineage: Eukaryota; Metazoa; Chordata; Aves; Passeriformes; Pipridae. The transcript is spliced from 3 exons.